AGCAAUUCUGCUUACCCCUCUCUCUCUCUGUUUCUAUCUCUUCAACUAUACUACACAGCCUAUUCCACUUACACUGCUGGAGAGGUUUUUGUUCUCUUAACAAUAUUGUACAGAAAAUGAAUUAUGGUACAGGUGCCAUCACUGCUUUGCUACCAUUGGUGUUAUUAAUCCGUCAACCCUUAUGAACCAACAUAUUGUAUAGAGAUUCCGGGCAUCAUCGUAUCAGCUACUGUUGAGCCACCUUGGCCUUUUUUGGCAUAUCUAUGACAAUGUUCAGAAUUUUUCCUUGGACGUAAAUUCUCUUCCUAAUAGAUUUCCCAUCCAAAAACUUGGACAGUUUUGUAUCAAAUGAAGCUAAU
RNAcentral lists this unclassified non-coding RNA (359 nucleotides) under Hevea brasiliensis (rubber tree). Lineage: Eukaryota; Viridiplantae; Streptophyta; Magnoliopsida; Malpighiales; Euphorbiaceae. The record is from RNAcentral.